GACGAACGCUGGCGGCGUGCUUAACACAUGCAAGUCGAACGGAAAGGCCCUGCUUUUGUGGGGUGCUCGAGUGGCGAACGGGUGAGUAACACGUGAGUAACCUGCCCUUGACUUUGGGAUAACUUCAGGAAACUGCGGCUAAUACCGGAUAGGAGCUCCUGCUGCAUGGUGGGGGUUGGAAAGUUUCGGCGGUUGGGGAUGGACUCGCGGCUUAUCAGCUUGUUGGUGGAGUAGUGGCUUACCAAGGCUUUGACGGGUAGCCGGCAUGAGAGGGUGACCGGGCACAUUAGGCCUGAGGUACGGCCCAGACUCCUACGGGAGGCAGCAGUGGGGAAUAUGGCACAAUGGGCGGAAGCCUGAUGCAGCAACGCCGCGUGCGGGAUGACGGCCUUCGGGUUGUAAACCGCUUUCGCCUGUGACGAAGCGUGAGUGACGGUAAUGGGUAAAGAAGCACCGGCUAACUACGUG
This 468-nucleotide ribosomal RNA is filed under the name uncultured bacterium. RNAcentral describes it as "partial 16S ribosomal RNA". It matches the Rfam family "Bacterial small subunit ribosomal RNA", at positions 28 to 507 of the family's 1533-position model. The record is from RNAcentral.